UCUCUUCUAGGAUAGUAUUAGAAGUAGUAUCUGCCCAAUGAAUAAUUAAAUGGCCGCGGUAUUUUGACCGUGCAAAGGUAGCAUAAUCAUUUGUCUUUUAAUUGAAGACUGGAAUGAAUGGUUUGACGAAAUAAAAGCUGUCUUAAUUUGAUUUGUUGAAUUUAAUUUUUGAGUUAAAAAGCUUAAAUGACAAUAGAGGACGAGAAGACCCUAUAGAGUUUUAUAAUCUUGUUAAAAAAUAAUUUAUUGGAAUUAGUAUUUUGUUUUUAAUUUGAUUAUUUGAUUGGGGUGAUAUUAAAAUAUGGGAAACUUUUAAUCAACGGUUAACUUGAAUAUUGAAGGAAAAGAUAAUGAUCUUGUAAUAUGGAUAAAAAGAAAAAUUACCUUAGGGAUAACAGCGUUAUUUUAUUUGAGAGUUCAUAUUGAAAAUAAAGUUUGCGACCUCGAUGUUGGAUUAAGAAUAUGUACUGGUGCAGUAGUUGGUAUUAUAGGUCUGUUCGACCUUUAAAUUCUUACAUGAUCU
RNAcentral lists this ribosomal RNA (523 nucleotides) under Malgasia zizy. Its description in RNAcentral is "partial 16S ribosomal RNA". It matches the Rfam family "Bacterial large subunit ribosomal RNA", at positions 1829 to 2606 of the family's 2925-position model. Lineage: Eukaryota; Metazoa; Arthropoda; Insecta; Orthoptera; Gryllidae. The record is from RNAcentral.